UCACAUGGAUAGCUUUUUCAGACAGACACAGAAAUGGUUAGCUGAGUGACCUUUUAUCGAGUGUAUAAUUCUAUCCCUCAAUGAAAAAAAAACCGUGGUCUUGAAAAUGACUUCUAAUUAUUGUUAUCAGCAUUGUGAUCCAACUGGAUACAGACCAAGGCUCAUGAUGGUGGCUGAAGAUGUUUGAGCUUAAAGUCAUUAUAAGAUUAACCCCAUGCUGCACAACAUAUUUCUCUGCUUCCUGUGGCCCAUCAAACUGAAGACCUGCAUUCAUACAUGCAUAAUUCACCAAACAUUUCCAGACUGAAGAGGAAAUGUGCAUAAAAGAACUUGAAAAAAUUCAUAAUAUCCAAGAAAAUCAAGACCACAAUGAACGACAAAAAUGCCAUGAAUCGUGCAACGUGGAAGUUUAAAUUAUACUUAAGUCAUUUAUUUUCAAUAGCUGCGUCCAUUUAACUUGUUCGCAGUUUAACUGUGUUUAUUUAUUCAUCUUGUGGUUGGUUUCUGCCUGUACUUUAGCUGCAUUGAAGUGCUUUGAUUGUGAAAUUUUCCAUAUUUAACUGAUUGGGAGGCAAAUCAUCCUCUCUGUAAUGUAUGUAAUGUACAGUUUGUAUUGUGAGAGCUGUAUUUAACAUUUUGCCUGUAUGGCUAUGUUAACUUUUUGGUUUCCAGACUGUUUAUUUGCCUUUUGCUUUGUGUAUUUUUUGUGUUUAUAUGCCUGAAAAUAAAAUU
Chiloscyllium plagiosum (whitespotted bambooshark) is the source of this 732-nucleotide non-coding RNA. Lineage: Eukaryota; Metazoa; Chordata; Chondrichthyes; Orectolobiformes; Hemiscylliidae. The record is from RefSeq and is a predicted model, not a curated record.